AAUAAAGACAUGAACAUGUGUAAUUGUUUGUGUGUUAUUAGUUUAAACAGACUGUGUUUGUCUGUUGUUGUGACUUAGAUGAAGAUCAGAUACAAUUUUAUGACCAAUUUAUGCAGAAAUCCAAUUCUAAAGGGUUUUCUUCUCAUCAUAUUUUAGAGUCAGUAUACUAUUAGAGGUCCAGGUACUCAUAAUAUUUAGGUCCCGGUACUCAUCAUGUUUUAGAGUCAGUAUACUAUUAGAGGUCCAGGUACUCAUAAUAUUUAGGUCCCGGUACUCAUCAUGUUUUAGAGUCAGUAUACUAUUAGAGGUCCAGGUACUCAUAAUAUUUAGGUCCCGGUACUCAUCAUGUUUUAGAGUCAAUAUUCUAUGAGAGGUCUCGGUACUCAUAAUAUUUAGGUCCCGGUACUCAUCAUGUUUUAGAGUCAAUAUUCUAAUUAGAGGUCUCGGUACUCAUUAUACUUAGGUCCCGGUACUCAUCAUGUUUUAGAGUCAAUAUUCUAUGAGAGGUCUCGGUACUCAUAAUAUUUAGGUCCCGGUACUCAUCAUGUUUUAGAGUCAAUAUUCUAUGAGAGGUCUCGGUACUCAUAAUAUUUAGGUCCCGGUACUCAUCAUGUUUUAGAGUCAGUAUACUAUUAGAGGUCCAGGUACUCAUAAUAUUUAGGUCCCGGUACUCAUCAUGUUUUAGAGUCAGUAUACUAUUAGAGGUCCAGGUACUCAUAAUAUUUAGGUCCCGGUACUCAUCAUGUUUUAGAGUCAAUAUACUAUGAGAGGUCUCGGUACUCAUAAUAUUUAGGUCCCGGUACUCAUCAUGUUUUAGAGUCAAUAUACUAUUAGAGGUCCAGGUACUCAUAAUAUUUAGGUCCCGGUACUCAUCAUGUUUUAGAGUCAAUAUACUAUUAGAGGUCCAGGUACUCAUUAUAUUUAGGUCCCGGUACUCAUCAUGUUUUAGAGUCAAUAUACUAUUAGAGGUCCAGGUACUCAUUAUAUUUAGGUCCCGGUACUCAUCAUGUUUUAGAGUCAAUAUACUAUUAGAGGUCUCGGUACUCAUUAUAUUUAGGUCCCGGUACUCAUCAUGUUUUAGAGUCAAUAUUCUAUGAGAGGUCUCGGUACUCAUUAUAUUUAGGUCCCGGUACUCAUCAUGUUUUAGAGUCAAUAUACUAUUAGAGGUCUCGGUACUCAUUAUACUUAGGUCCCGGUACUCAUCAUGUUUUAGAGUCAAUAUUCUAUUAGAGGUGCUCUUGAGCAGUAGAAAAUUCAAAGUGAACACCUGCCCACUUCACACACAGGCUAUAGUAUUGUAUGUGCAACUGUUUGUGUGCAAUGAAAAACACAGGGUGUACAUAGUUGAUAUCCUCUGCAUUGCUGACUGCCUGGUUAAAUACCAACACCAUUCCUCAUCCUAAUGACCAGACGUGAACAACUACCAAAGAUUGCUUCCAUUCUCCC
Oncorhynchus mykiss (rainbow trout) is the source of this 1446-nucleotide non-coding RNA. The record is from RefSeq and is a predicted model, not a curated record. Lineage: Eukaryota; Metazoa; Chordata; Actinopteri; Salmoniformes; Salmonidae.